UUUUAGACAGAUUUGAGUAGAUUUUGUAUUACUUGAGUAGAUCUUGUAUUACUUUAUAGUAGUUUUUAUUUGGUAGUAUUUUUUGGUCCUAGCGGUAGUAUCUUUUGUUGGUGACGAUAAUAUUUUUCGUUGCUGGCGGUAAUAGAUUUAUUUUUUACGGUAAUAGCUUUUGUUCACAUCGGUAGUAUCUUUUGUUGCUGGCGGUAAUAUCUUUUGUUGGUGACUGUAGUAGCUUUUGUUUACGGCGGUAAUAUCUUUGUUGAUAGUAGUUUUUCAUAUGCUUGGUAGUAUCUUUUGUGACCUCGCCGGAGGUCACCGGAAUCUUAGUAUCGUAGCUUUUGUAGCUGGUGGUAGUAGAUUUUGUUAUGUUCGGUAGUAUUUUUUGUUACUGGCGAUAGUAUUUUUUGUGACCUCGCCGGAGGUCGUCGAAGAUCUCACCAUAGUAGCUUUUAUAGCCGAUGAUAGUAGUUUUUAUAGCCGGUGAUAGUAGCCUUUGUUGCUAGUGACAGUAUCUUUUGCAAUCUUCAGUUACAUUGUCGGAGGUCAACGGUAAAAUUGUCAAAGGUCGGUCAGAAACUUUACCUGAAGUCAGCCAGCAGAGACCUGUCAGUGGUAGUAGCUUUCUUUGCUGGUCGUAGUAGCUUUUGUUGCUAUCGGUAAUAGCUUUCUUUGCUGGUGACAGUAGCCUUUUUUGUUAUCGGUAGUAUAUUUUGUUGUCAGUAGUAGCAGCUUUCUUUGCUGGCAGUAGUAGCUUUUGUUGCUAUCAGUAGUAGAUUUCUUUACUGGUGACAGUAAUUUUUUUUGCUAUCAGUAGUAUCUUUUGUUGUCAGUGGUAGUAGCUUUCUUUGUCAGUGAUAGUAGCUUUCUUUGUCAGCGGUAGUAGCUUUUGUUGUCACUGGUAGUAGCUUUUGUGGUCGCUAGAAUCCUCAUAGAUGGUCGGCCGGAAAGUUCGCCGGAGGUCGGUCGGAAAGUUCGCCGGAAGUCGGUUGGAAAUUUUGCCGGAGGUCAGUCGGAGACCAUUUAUGGUUGUUGACUUUUUAUAUUAGUGGCAUUUUUGUAAAUAUAAGAGAGAAAAUCUAAUUUUUUGGUUGGAUGGCAGUCUGUAAUUUUGUUGAACUUUAAUAUUUAAUAUAAGACUUUAUUUAGGCUUGGUGGACUUAUAUGGGUAAAAAUGUUUAGGUGGACUUAUAUAGAAGAAAAUGUCUCCAAGUGGACUUCUAUGUAAUUGCCCCAAUAUAAAAGGAUUAAGAUGGGCGUUUUUUGGAUAUCGGGUGGUUUCAAUCCUCGAUGUAUGGGAUAGAAACGAAAAAUAAAGAACACAGGAGUUUGUUUACGCAGUGAAACCUCAAUUUGAGAAAAAACACUGCUGGGGCUUUAACUCUUCAAAACCCCUAAUGAAAAGAGAAUUCACUAUGAAUCAAGAACGAGUCAAUUACAAACUUUGUAGCACUAACCGUGGCUACUAUCUCUAGAACCCUAACAGAUAUGUUUGAAGCACUCUUCUUCUUCGAUCUCCAAGGAACUAAUCAUGUCAUUGAUCCUUCAAUCACAUAAACAACAAGUUCAACUCAACAUGUAACAGUUAAACUUCGACAUUUUCUAUCAAUAUAAUUUGCAGCGGAAAUAUGCGUCAAAAGGUAGUCACUCCAGACUUUGAUACGCAGCAUAUAUGGGAGCACUGACUCCACCUUGCUUUAAAGUCCCAACCCUAAUUGACUUCCUACAAGGAAAAAUCUUAACAUUAAGAUAUAUGGUCAAUUAGAUGCAACAUUUUAUUAUCAAUAAAUG
Molecule: long non-coding RNA, 1788 nt
Filed under: Fragaria vesca (wild strawberry)
Lineage: Eukaryota; Viridiplantae; Streptophyta; Magnoliopsida; Rosales; Rosaceae
Description: long non-coding RNA (FVES_LNC000181)
Source: RNAcentral